Molecule: ribosomal RNA, 622 nt
Filed under: uncultured Actinomycetes bacterium
Lineage: Bacteria; Bacillati; Actinomycetota; Actinomycetes
Description: bacterial SSU rRNA
Rfam family: Bacterial small subunit ribosomal RNA
Source: RNAcentral
UGGAUGAGUGGCGAACGGGUGAGUAACACGUGAGUAACCUGCCCCCUUCUUCUGGAUAACUGCUUGAAAGGGUAGCUAAUACGGGAUAUUCUGGCCUGCUCGCAUGGGUGGGUUUGGAAAGGUUUUUUCUGGUGGGGGAUGGGCUCGCGGCCUAUCAGCUUGUUGGUGGGGUGAUGGCCUACCAAGGCGGUGACGGGUAGCCGGCCUGAGAGGGUGGACGGCCACACUGGGACUGAGACACGGCCCAGACUCCUACGGGAGGCAGCAGUGGGGAAUAUUGCACAAUGGGCGCAAGCCUGAUGCAGCGACGCCGCGUGAGGGAUGGAGGCCUUCGGGUUGUAAACCUCUUUCGCCAGUGAAGCAGGCCAUCUUCUUUGUGGGGUGGUUGACGGUAGCUGGAUAAGAAGCGCCGGCUAACUACGUGCCAGCAGCCGCGGUAAUACGUAGGGCGCGAGCGUUGUCCGGAAUUAUUGGGCGUAAAGAGCUCGUAGGCGGCUGGUCGCGUCUGUCGUGAAAUCCCCUGGCUUAACUGGGGGCUUGCGGUGGUACGGGCCGGCUUGAGUGCGGUAGGGGAGACUGGAAUUCCUGGUGUAGCGGUGGAAUGCGCAGAUAUCAGGAGGAA